This 480-nucleotide ribosomal RNA is filed under the name uncultured bacterium. Its description in RNAcentral is "partial 16S ribosomal RNA". It matches the Rfam family "Bacterial small subunit ribosomal RNA", at positions 355 to 823 of the family's 1533-position model. The record is from RNAcentral.
UGGGGAAUAUUGGACAAUGGGGGCAACCCUGAUCCAGCAAUGCCGCGUGUGUGAAGAAGGUCUUCGGAUCGUAAAACUCUGUUGGUAGAGAAGAACGUUGGUGAGAGUGGAAAGCUCAUCAAGUGACGGUAACUACCCAGAAAGGGACGGCUAACUACGUGCCAGCAGCCGCGGUAAUACGUAGGUCCCGAGCGUUGUCCGGAUUUAUUGGGCGUAAAGCGAGCGCAGGUGGUUUAUUAAGUCUGGUGUAAAAGGCAGUGGCUCAACCAUUGUAUGCAUUGGAAACUGGUAGGCUUGAGUGCAGGAGAGGAGAGUGGAAUUCCAUGUGUAGCGGUGAAAUGCGUAGAUAUAUGGAGGAACACCGGUGGCGAAAAGCGGCUCUCUGGCCUGUAACUGACACUGAGGCUCGAAAGCGUGGGGAGCAAAACAGGAUUAGAUACCCUGGUAGUCCACGGCCGUAAAACGAUGAGUGCUAGAUGU